This 548-nucleotide ribosomal RNA is filed under the name uncultured Desulfomicrobium sp. Its description in RNAcentral is "bacterial SSU rRNA". It matches the Rfam family "Bacterial small subunit ribosomal RNA", at positions 355 to 896 of the family's 1533-position model. The record is from RNAcentral. Lineage: Bacteria; Pseudomonadati; Thermodesulfobacteriota; Desulfovibrionia; Desulfovibrionales; Desulfomicrobiaceae.
UGGGGAAUCUUCCGCAAUGGGCGCAAGCCUGACCCAGCAACGCCGUGUGAGGGAUGAAGGCCUUCGGGUCGUAAACCUCUGUCAGAAGGGAAGAACGGGCACAGUUCGAAUAGGGCUGUGUUGUGACGGUACCUUCAGAGGAAGCACCGGCUAACUCCGUGCCAGCAGCCGCGGUAAUACGGAGGGUGCGAGCGUUAUUCGGAAUCACUGGGCGUAAAGGGCGCGUAGGCGGCCUGGUAAGUCAGGGGUGAAAUCCCACGGCUCAACCGUGGAAUUGCCUUUGAAACUGCUGGGCUUGGAUCCUGGAGAGGGUGGCGGAAUUCCUGGUGUAGGAGUGAAAUCCGUAGAUAUCAGGAGGAACACCGGUGGCGAAGGCGGCCACCUGGACAGGUAUCGACGCUGAGGCGCGAAAGUGUGGGGAGCAAACAGGAUUAGAUACCCUGGUAGUCCACACCGUAAACGAUGGAUACUAGGUGUUGGGGGCAUGACCCUCAGUGCCGGAGCUAACGCGUUAAGUAUCCCGCCUGGGGAGUACGGUCGCAAGGCUG